CUGGGCUUCCGGGAGGGCAUGUUGCUUUGCUUGGCAUGCCGGGAGCGGUAGUCUUCCGGCACUGGGCUUCCGGGAAGCCAUGUUGGUAUCCAAAAGGCAGUGCUGCGCCCGAAACAGAUGCGCAUGCGCACUGUUUUUUCCCGUGCUCAUUGCUGCUGUGUCGACAAGCCAGUACUGCAGCCACCACCGGCCAUGCCCGCAUACGAAGAACAUUGCAAGCAGCCGUUGCACACACGUGCACUGCCGGUCGCCGCUACUCUCCGCUUUUUCGCUAACGGCUGCCCCAAAGCCAUGGGCUUCCCCGGUUCAGCAUGUGUCGAUGGGUCCUCCCUUGCUUCUGACGUCUCCCCAGGCACUCGUAUGCUGCGCAGGGGUCUGGAUGUCUCCAGCGGUGGCACGGCAGCCGGAUGCCUGCUCUUGUCUGGGACGCGGGGUCCUUCGCCGCUUUUCUGGGAUACGGGGCCCUUGAGAUAGGACCAACGAUAGCAAAUGCUGACCAAGAGAAAAGCUGGACAAGCAGUUUUUUGUGAUUAAUACCUAAGGGACGGGAUGAAGCAAGGAAGCCAAAAUGCAGCGGACCCUCAAUAUCACCAGAAACGGCUACGGCAGGAGGUGUUCUGGCACGGGUAACUAAGAUUAAUUGCCAUGGCUGAAGUUGAAGAGACUAUAUAUGAAUAUAAGGAAGCUGAAGUACUAAAAUCAAAUGGAACCAAGUGAAAGCUGUCUCCCUCUGCCGGAAAAAGGGAAAGCCCAUUCCUCCUGGCAAGGAAGGAUCGCCGUUAAUAGUGAUCUGAAUAAUAGAUCGCCAGCGUAUACCGGAAGGGUGAUGGAUUUUACUAUGCCUCCAUCAACAGGCGCUGGCUGGCAAAGUCGUCGUGUCCCAACGGAGACUCUUAGGCAGGACGGGAGGAGUUCAGAUCCGCAGCCUGCCAGAAGAGCGUCACCCGGGAGGGGUCGCUUGAGCUAUAGGCACUGGUGCCGAAGCCCAGUCGGGCAGUCAAAGGAGCCUUGUCACAGCUGGGAGCUCUGUGGAGAUGUGCGGCCGGCCGUGGAGGAUGAGCUCUGACUUGCGGCAUGGACACAGCUAAGUCCUGGGCUGCAUCAUACGUGAGUGGGGCUGGGAGGUGCGAGGCGGUUGUCCCCUAGGUGUGGUCACUGGUGCUGCUGGCCGUGGACGUUUGCCCACGGAGCUGAGAGGACCAAACAUACUAAUUGCCUGACACAGAGAUGAAUUAGCGCUUGUGGGGUUUCAGGUAGGUUCAGUGCAAGUGCAGCUUAGUGCAGUCCUGUGGAGUGAUGCUUGCACAUGUUCACAUUUGAAUGGUAGCUAAAACUAAGCCUCUGAACAGCAACUGUAACGUGAUUCUGGUGCAUGUCUUCCCAUUCUGCUGUACUUCUAAAGGAAGGGGAAACUUCUUAAGCUGCGGGCAAAACUCCUUGGCUUCUCUUGGCUGUUUCCAUGCUCGUGGGUGCUUUGGUGCUUGUUGCUUAAAGCUGAGGGUUUGGAAUUUUUCACUUAAGGUUUAUUGUUUGGCUUGCUGCUGAGGGUCUCUCACCCAGGAGUUACAGGUUAUUACUUUCCUUUAUGGGGCUCAGUCUUUAUCAGUCAGGCUUUACAGUUUGCUCGUUUAGUGAUCAGGGCGCAGAAUUUAAAAUCCAACCUCAUCCGUAAGUUUUAAAUCCUCAGAAAACACUGGGGUUCCGAGGCUUGCGGUUUGUCACUUAGCAUUCAGGGCUUAUGACUUGCUGAGAAGUGAGAAUGGCUAAAUCCUUAGAUAAUGAACUGUAAGUCCUGAAGCCUAAGCAGCAGGCUGCAAACCCUUCUUUGGGCUUUGUAACCUUCCCCUGUACCCAGCGUUCAGCUCUGCACACCGACCUGCACUCUGGAUUUGAUAUGGCGCAGGCCCAUCACACGGAGACUGGCAAUGUGACGGGUGAGCUGAGAGCUGUGGAAGUGUCUUGCAGGGCUCUAGCCUGGGGUAGGGCAGAAGUGCAGACAGGCAAGAUCAGGCAUUUUCCUCUCAUCUCUGAGAUGAAUCCUAUCCCUGAAGGAAAAAGCAGAGGAGUAGGCUGUCAGCUACUCGGACACCUGCCACAUCAAGGGCAGCAGCAGGAGAUGACCCUUCCCUGAUGGAUGGAUGGACGCUGGUGUAGUGAUGACUCUUCAGGCAUCACAGGUAAGGGGAAGCAUGCUGACACUGAGCUCCAUGGCAGACUUGCUUCCAGCUAUUGUUUCUGCGCAGUAAAACAAUAAACAGUUGCUUUAUUCUUUGCA
Long non-coding RNA from Dromaius novaehollandiae (emu), 2275 nucleotides. RefSeq lists it as uncharacterized. The record is from RefSeq and is a predicted model, not a curated record. Lineage: Eukaryota; Metazoa; Chordata; Aves; Casuariiformes; Dromaiidae. The transcript is spliced from 6 exons.